Molecule: ribosomal RNA, 1489 nt
Filed under: uncultured bacterium
Lineage: Bacteria
Description: 16S ribosomal RNA
Rfam family: Bacterial small subunit ribosomal RNA
Source: RNAcentral
CUCAGAUUGAACGCUGGCGGCAGGCCUAACACAUGCAAGUCGAACGUAACAGGAAGCAGCUUGCUGCUUCGCUGACGAGUGGCGGACGGGUGAGUAAUGUCUGGGAAACUGCCUGAUGGAGGGGGAUAACUACUGGAAACGGUAGCUAAUACCGCAUAACGUCGCAAGACCAAAGAGGGGGACCUUAGGGCCUCUUGCCAUCGGAUGUGCCCAGAUGGGAUUAGCUAGUAGGUGGGGUAACGGCUCACCUAGGCGACGAUCCCUAGCUGGUCUGAGAGGAUGACCAGCCACACUGGAACUGAGACACGGUCCAGACUCCUACGGGAGGCAGCAGUGGGGAAUAUUGCACAAUGGGCGCAAGCCUGAUGCAGCCAUGCCGCGUGUAUGAAGAAGGCCUUCGGGUUGUAAAGUACUUUCAGCGGGGAGGAAGGGAGUAAAGUUAAUACCUUUGCUCAUUGACGUUACCCGCAGAAGAAGCACCGGCUAACUCCGUGCCAGCAGCCGCGGUAAUACGGAGGGUGCAAGCGUUAAUCGGAAUUACUGGGCGUAAAGCGCACGCAGGCGGUUUGUUAAGUCAGAUGUGAAAUCCCCGGGCUCAACCUGGGAACUGCAUCUGAUACUGGCAAGCUUGAGUCUCGUAGAGGGGGGUAGAAUUCCAGGUGUAGCGGUGAAAUGCGUAGAGAUCUGGAGGAAUACCGGUGGCGAAGGCGGCCCCCUGGACGAAGACUGACGCUCAGGUGCGAAAGCGUGGGGAGCAAACAGGAUUAGAUACCCUGGUAGUCCACGCCGUAAACGAUGUCGACUUGGAGGUUGUGCCCUUGAGGCGUGGCUUCCGGAGCUAACGCGUUAAGUCGACCGCCUGGGGAGUACGGCCGCAAGGUUAAAACUCAAAUGAAUUGACGGGGGCCCGCACAAGCGGUGGAGCAUGUGGUUUAAUUCGAUGCAACGCGAAGAACCUUACCUGGUCUUGACAUCCACGGAAGUUUUCAGAGAUGAGAAUGUGCCUUCGGGAACCGUGAGACAGGUGCUGCAUGGCUGUCGUCAGCUCGUGUUGUGAAAUGUUGGGUUAAGUCCCGCAACGAGCGCAACCCUUAUCCUUUGUUGCCAGCGGUCCGGCCGGGAACUCAAAGGAGACUGCCAGUGAUAAACUGGAGGAAGGUGGGGAUGACGUCAAGUCAUCGUGGCCCUUACGACCAGGGCUACACACGUGCUACAAUGGCGCAUACAAAGAGAAGCGACCUCGCGAGAGCAAGCGGACCUCAUAAAGUGCGUCGUAGUCCGGAUUGGAGUCUGCAACUCGACUCCAUGAAGUCGGAAUCGCUAGUAAUCGUGGAUCAGAAUGCCACGGUGAAUACGUUCCCGGGCCUUGUACACACCGCCCGUCACACCAUGGGAGUGGGUUGCAAAAGAAGUAGGUAGCUUAACCUUCGGGAGGGCGCUUACCACUUUGUGAUUCAUGACUGGGGUGAAGUCGUAACAAGGUAACCGU